This 1583-nucleotide long non-coding RNA is filed under the name Citrus maxima (pomelo). Its description in RNAcentral is "long non-coding RNA (CMAX_LNC001103)". Lineage: Eukaryota; Viridiplantae; Streptophyta; Magnoliopsida; Sapindales; Rutaceae. The record is from RNAcentral.
AAAAAACAACCAACUGCUCUAACAUUAUUUUAUUCGAAACCAUUGACGUAUAAAAGAAUAAAAGCUUUUGAAUUGCUCUAGUUAUUGUAAUUCGAAGCACUUGAUAUUAACUUGAAUGAUAUGAAAAUGAUUCGAUUUGUGUAAUUUGAACAAAUAAUUUUGAGUUAUUAGUAGACUGAUAUGAUAGUUUAAUUAACAAUUGCUUGUUGUCCAUGAACUGAAAGUAUUUGUAAUAAUUGUAUGUUGUUCGAUGAAUAAGAUAGCAAAUUUGCGUUUUGCAAAUAACCAUUUUCAAAUUUUUGUUGUGCUAGUUGGCAAUUUUGAUUUUCCACCAUUAAGUUUUGAAGUUUUACGAAACAUUUUAACGUUAAUGAAGCUCGAUUAAUUCCUACUAAGGUAUUUCCCUGCUUUAGUUAAAUGGUAAUUUGUUUCUUUUUUGUCUCACUGCAAUAAUUUUUGUUAUUGCUAUUCUAAAUCAUUAUUGGUGUUGGUUUAUGAUUGCGAAUAUGUUUCAAUUAAAAUACAUUUUAGCCUUUCAAAUACAUGAUAUAAAGAACUUUUAACUUUAUGUGAAUUGAUGGACCCAAAAGCAAGCUUCAUCAUGUUCUAUAGAUGCUUAAUUUUCUUAUUUGUGUUUGGAUGCUUAGAAAAUAAGUGGGAAAAGUAGAGUCGUUUCGAUGAACUCGUCUUCCCUUUGGGUUGUAUUUGCAACAUGUUUAUGGACUUGUUCCAUUUUAUGGACUUUGAGCCCUGCCACCCUUUACAGAUCCAUACCCCUUCCAACUAUUUUUACAAAAGUACCCUUUUGUUGGUCCAACUCGGUUAUGUCUUUUACAUUUAGGAUCCGUGAACCCGUUUUUCCGGAUUCUGGACCUGAAUUUUUUCAUUUUUUUAUUUAAAAAAAUGAAAACAAAGUAAAUCAAAACAAAACAGAACCCGUUUUUCCGGAUUCUGGACCUGAAUUUUUUCAUUUUUUUAUUUAAAAAAAUGAAAACAAAGUAAAUCAAAACAAAACAGAGCACAGAGACCACAACGCCAAGGAAAAACUCUAAUUUUCAAUGCAAAACACACGCUGCCGUUGCAAACAGGCUUAACGGCCGCCCCUUGACACCGCUGCUUUCUGUUACUGCUGCCGCGUGACGCGUGCUGUUUGUUGGAUCGCUCACCACGGUUGUUGCCAGUCAAUCGCCGACUGUGCUUGCUAUUUUGCCAAGCUACGGGUUCACGGCUGUCAUCAAAAGGUACUUACCUUCAGUUCCUCGCUUUAACUGCUGUUUAGAUGAAAUCGAUGAUGGGUUUUUGAUGAUGAUGGUGAAAUUGAUAAACUUAAGCUAAUGAUUUUUCUUACAUGACUUGUAGAUUUGUCUUUGGCUUUGAAUAUUUUAAAUUUCAAGCAGUAACAUUUUACGCUGUACAAAAAUUACACAUUGGUUGAAAAAAUAUUUUUUCAGAAAUACAAAAUGAGUCAGAUACAAUUAUCACAUUAUAUGUACAUAAAUUAGGACGCUUUAGUGCAAAGUUUGGGACUUCUAUUUGAUUAAGUUACUUAUAAGCGAUUUUUGUUGUUUUUGAUGGUUGUAAAG